RNAcentral lists this ribosomal RNA (308 nucleotides) under uncultured Sphingobacteriales bacterium. RNAcentral describes it as "bacterial SSU rRNA". It matches the Rfam family "Bacterial small subunit ribosomal RNA", at positions 1075 to 1382 of the family's 1533-position model. The record is from RNAcentral. Lineage: Bacteria; Pseudomonadati; Bacteroidota; Sphingobacteriia; Sphingobacteriales.
UCGGGUUAAGUCCCAUAACGAGCGCAACCCUUACUGUUAGUUGCCAGCGGGUAAUGCCGGGAACUCUAGCGGGACUGCCACCGUAAGGUGAGAGGAAGGUGGGGAUGACGUCAAAUCAGCACGGCCCUUAUGUCCAGGGCUACACACGUGUUACAAUGGCCGGUACAAAGGGCAGCUACACCGCGAGGUGAUGCUAAUCUCGAAAGCCGGUCUCAGUUCGGAUCGAAGUCUGCAACCCGACUUCGUGAAGUUGGAUUCGCUAGUAAUCGCGCAUCAGCCAUGGCGCGGUGAAUACGUUCCCGGGCCUU